RNAcentral lists this ribosomal RNA (497 nucleotides) under uncultured bacterium. RNAcentral's name for it is "partial 16S ribosomal RNA". It matches the Rfam family "Bacterial small subunit ribosomal RNA", at positions 28 to 507 of the family's 1533-position model. The record is from RNAcentral.
GACGAACGCUGGCGGCGUGCCUAAUACAUGCAAGUUGAGCGCUGAAGGUUGGUACUUGUGCCAACUGGAUGAGCAGCGAACGGGUGAGUCACGCGUGGGGAAUCUGCCUUUGAGCGGGGGACACCAUUUGGAAACGAAUGCUAAUACCGCAUAAAAACUUUAAACACAAGUUUUACGUUUGAAAGAUGCAAUUGCAUCACUCAAAGAUGAUCCCGCGUUGUAUUAGCUAGUUGGUGAGGUAAAGGCUCACCAAGGCGAUGAUACAUAGCCGCCCUGAGAGGGUGAGAGGCCACACUGGGAUGGGGACACGGCCCACACUCCUGGGGGAGGCAGCAGUAGGGAAUCUUCGGGAAUGGACGAAAGUCUGACCGAGCAACGCCGCGUGAGUGAAGAAGGCUGUCGGAUCGUAAAACUCUGUUGGUAGAGAAGAACGUUGGUGAGAGUGGAAAGCUCAGCAAGUGACGGUAACUACACAGAAAGCGACGGCUAACUACGUG